This is a long non-coding RNA of Theobroma umbraticum, 796 nucleotides long. RefSeq lists it as uncharacterized. Lineage: Eukaryota; Viridiplantae; Streptophyta; Magnoliopsida; Malvales; Malvaceae. The record is from RefSeq and is a predicted model, not a curated record.
GAAGCUACUUCUUGGGUGCUUCUUUGCAAGACAGCUUGUCAUAGACUGGCAUUAUCUCUCUCUCCCUCUCUCUCAUGUGCAAUGAAAAAGCCUUCUUUUAAGGCUAUCAUCUCUAAAAACUCUUUCUUUCUCUUUUAAGGCAAGAGAGAAAAGCCAACAUUUUUUCCUUUCUCUGGCAUUGCUUUAAUGUAGCAUUUGUUUUCUUGCUGUUGUGCACUGACAGUGAUGUUCAUUUCAUUCUCUGUUGACCCACAUUACUCUUAGCCUCAAAAGUCUACAGUCAAAUUCCCUCAACUCCGUUGUUUCAGGCCUAUAUAUUUGGAGCUUUCCUUGCAACUCUUCUCUGUGUCCACAUUUCUCUGAGAAGAUUUAAGAUUGUGCGUACCUCCAAUGACCAGCUUAUACGUACCAUAAUGGCACUAUGAAUGUUGUAUCUUUGCAACAACUUCUAAACUUCUAUCACCAUAGUUCCAGAAUUCAAGAGAGCACUUAGUUGUCUUAGUUCGCACAACAAACAAUGGAAGAGAGCUUUGUUCCAUUUCGUGGAAUCAAGAAUGACCUUCGAGGGAGACUGAAGUGCUACAAGCAAGACUGGACUGGUGGUUUCGGGGCAGGUUUCAGGAUUUUGGCCCCCACCACAUAUAUAUUUUUCGCAUCAGCAAUUCCUGUUAUUUCAUUUGGAGAACAGUUGGAAAGAGAUACAGGUAAAAGUAUACAUUUUUAUGUAAAAUUUGCCACUUAUUUUAUGAGGUGAAGAUAAAGAUUGUGCCUAGAAUGGAAAGAGUAUGACUGGUCG